GUGGCUGAAACUUAACCCUACAAGUUACAACAGUGUUCAAGCCUAUAGUAUUAAUAAUGUUAAACGUAAGUUAAAGGAGGAAAUAAACCCGAAUUCUCGCGGUCCUCAUUUCCAAGCCUGGAAAUAAUAUUGAAAAUUUUGAAAGGUUUUUAAAUCUGGGCAACGAGUUGACAUAAAAAUUUAAUGAAGUUAAAAGAUAAGUAAACAGUUUUUUUAAACAUCAAUUAUCAGUCAAAUGGACUGUUUUACCGUGUAUGCACAUGCAUGUUAUCGUCUGACAGUGACAGACACACUGCGCGGGUCCGAGAACAUGAUCUCCAUAUUUUAAUUCAUCUGCGGAUACAGUUAUUUAACCAGAUAAGUAGCUGUUUUUUUUUGUUGUUGUUUUUUGAUACACAUUGCUAGUUUGGAUAUAAUAUUACAAAAAUACUAAUAUUUGUAUUAAGGGGUUACAAUUUUGCAUAAUAUAUUAUACUCUAUAGGGCUUCUAGGAACAUAUGCGCAGGCUAGAUCUUCAACCGUUUCUAGGCAUCAGACACUAACAUUAGAAUCUAACAUGUCUAAUGUUAGUACCUAAACCUAAUGUGUUAACUAGGUCUAGAUCUAGUCUCUACUCUAGAUUUGGAUCCACAUUAUAACACAGUAAAAACUAUUAAAUAGAUAUAGGCUUAACAUUUAAUGCUAAAAGCCUAAUCGGCCAACGUUAGGCCUGAUUGUUUGUGUGUAAGACAUAUAAGUAGUAGUUCGGGUUAUACAUGUAAUAGCUAGAACUUCACAAUUUUGUUUCCAAAAUAACGCAAGGCCUAACGAUAUAUUGGACAUGCAGCGUUGUCAAACCAAACGUAGACCAAAAGGUACAGCAUCAGUCUAAAGACAGUUUUAUUCAUGUUAGGCCUAGAUCUAUUUGUUUGUAGUAAUGUUAAACCUAGUUUUCCAACGAUUAAAUAGAAAAUAUAUUCAAUAUUACAUCUAGAGCUCUAUUAGUAUUAAUGGCAUUGAUUUUGAAUGACAUCAGCCAAUUUUCCUGUGGGCUAACUUAUGUAUCAUUAUAUAUCAAGACUUCUUGAACCUACGUGUUUUUCUGACAUCAUGAUCAUGUCAGUAGGCUUAUGUCUAAAUAACAAACAUGAAGAAAUUGUACUUGGAUUUUAAGUAUUUGUUCAGUUGUAUUUAUAGGAUUCAGAUAUACAUCUAAUAUCAGUAAUAAUAGAUUGUAACUUUUUCAUUAAAUCUCUAUCGCUUCUCACAUGUGCAUAUCGGCGUUUGUUAGCCCUAGGCUUAGGUCUAAUCUGAGCUAACGUAGUAUCUCGCGAUACUACGGUUAUGUCAUUCAUGGAAAGAAAGCGAUAAAUAUGCGUCCAGGGUUUGUGGAAGUAAUAUAAUAUGUUAUAAGUCACACCAAUAAAUUUUCAUUUAAUCUUUUAUGUAUACAGCGUACUUAAAAUCGCUCAUAAAUUUAUGAGACGUCAAAUAUACCGCAUUUUCAUUUAUCGUAAAAUCAGACUUUGUGUAUUAGAGCACAUGCGGUACAUGCAUCGUAUUACAUCGACAGUAACUGUGUAAAUCUAUUUGCUUGUGUCUGGCAGUUUGCAUUGUUAUUUCCAAAAUAAUGCAAGGUUUAAUAAUGUAUUGGACAUCCAGCACUGCCAAACCAAACGUUAACCGUAAUGUACGACAUACGUCUUAAAAACAAUUUUAUGCAUGCGAGGCCUAGAUCUAUUUGUUUGUAGUAAUGAAUACACAGGGACACAUUUCGGCGGCCAUAUUGACCACGUUUGUUAUGACGAGUAAACAAACCAGCGCGUGGCUUUUGACAAGGUUUGUAAAAUGAUUAGCAAGUGUAGUUUUAAAACAAGUUGGUUUUCAAAUCAAAACUACCAGGAAUAGCUAGAAAGGGAUUCACACCCUAGAAAAGCAAGAUGUAAACCAUGCCAAAGUUCAUUUGACAUCAGCAACAUGGGAGAAGCAGCAUUGCACAGCCAUAUGACAAUCAAUAAACAUGCAGAAAACAUGAAGGCAUAAUCAAAUAAUACUACUAUCUAUACCUUUUUCAAACCUCCUGAACAGAAAGUGCUCAUGUUAAAAAAACCAACUACCAAUGGAACUGCCACUUAUUCAACUUUCAGCAUCCCGUCAUUUGUUUCUUCUUCUGAUGUUUUAAGAUCAGCAGUUUUAUGGACUUUGAGAACUUGACUGUCAUGGUUCAUUUUAUUCAAAGGAUCAUAGAAGGUUUCAAGAGUAUGUUUCCCAACAAUGAAAUUGCCCAAAAGUCUUCAUGCGGGGAAGACAAAACAUCAUAAUAAACAAACAAACAAAAAAUUGUUGAAAGUUGCUUAAUCGAAAGCUUGCUGAAUUUCAAUACUUCCCAAGGUCACUUUAAGCUAAAUAACUUCUAGACUACUCGUGAACUUAAGGGAAUUCAAAAUUCCGGUGUCACCUGGGCAUUGUUGAUUAGUUUUUCUGCCAGAGGACAACCUGAGACUGAAGAGGAUACAAAAAUGUGUCAAAACUUGUUUGUCCUAUGUUAAGACUUCUGACAGUUUAUUCUGUUUACCAUGUUUUUUUUUAUGUCUGUUCAAUAACUGCUACACACAAUAUUGUGUUAUUUUAUGACAUAACAUCAUACUUAGCUAUACAUGGAUUAGCUCCAUAUUUCAUUUUCAUACUGAAGCAGAAAAUCACAGAAGUCUGAGUGUGACAUUCAUGCUUGCAUUUAGGAUGAAAAACUGUUAAUUCAAGAUACAUCAAAUCAGAAUUCUUAGGACAUACUACUGCAAGUAAUCUAUUUGACAAGCCAUUCCUUGUUGUCACAGACCUCAUUCAAAGAAUUUAUUGCAGAUAUCCAUGGAUGGCCCCAAUGUUAAUUUGAAAUUACAUGAUAUGUAAUCAACUGAAGCUAAUAAACAUAAUCCAAAGAGACACCUUUUGGAAGUGUAAAGCAGAUGACUGGAAAUUGGAAAAAUUCUGGCAAAGAUUCUCCAGCAAGAGCUAUUGACUUCAAAAGUGAGACUGGAUGCUCAGACUUCCACCAAAGUUUUGUAAGCACUGGUGAUUGGAGUGGAGAACAUCAGUUUAUGGAAAAGUGCUUGUACCUGCUGCCUCAUCUUAAAAUAUAUGUGAGUGUACAGAAAACUUAAUAAACUUAAUCCAAAGAGACACAUUUCGCAAGUUGAAUCUUAUGGUUUACACACAAUCCACAAUGUUUGUAGAGUAAGUGUAAAGCAGGUGACUGGAAAUUUGAUGUCCCUGCAAUUGUCUGAUUCAAGAGUUUGUAUGUUUCAAAAAGAGCAGGACAGACUGGAUACCAUAUAUUUACAUCUCCUUUCAGACAAGAAACAAUUUCAGAUGCUCUCCUCUCUUUGUCUUGUUGACAGAUCAGUGUUGAAAGGGGCUUUUCUGUAAAUAAAGAAGCUAUUACAGAAAAACAGCAGAGCAUGUUCCUUAAUACUAGGAGAGUCAUAAUUGACCACAGUAGACAUGUCAGAGGUGUUCUGAAUGUAAACAUAACUACAGAAAUGCUUACCUUUGUUGGAAAUGCAAGUCCAGAAAGCAGAAGCUACAGCAAAGUGACAAGAGAAAGGUUGAAGAAGUUGAAUUCACACUGGAAGAUCUCAAACAUAAGAAGAUUAGUCUUAAGUUUGAAAUUAAGCAGCUCCUUUCAUCAGCUGAUGAAAACUUUGAGAAAGCUGAAAAUGAAAAAAACUUUAGCCCCCUCAUAGUAGUUAAUUCCAUGAAGAAAGUUGUAAGAGAGAAGGAAGAAUCCUUUAGUCUUUCAUGAUGAAAAUUGAAGAGAAACUAUCAAACGAGAAAUGCUGAAACACUUUGACUUUUUUAUUUUUAAAUAAUUCAAUUGCAUUUGAACAUUGCUAGAUUACUGCCUUUUUCACCAUAUAAAAACAUUAUUUACCAAUAUUUGUGUAAUAUCUACAGUUGAAAAUGUAUAUGUCCAGGUGCAGUUUCUUGCAUAAUGCACAAGAAAUGGGCCUUGAAUUUAUAAAAUUGGUCAUUAAAAAGUUGUUAAAUUUCAAUUCUGCAUAGGUGCAGGAACACUAAUAAACUAAUUUGUGACUGUUACUGGACUGGACUGGACAUUGAAUUACUUUUUACCAGAAUAGAACUACAAUAUCAGAGUGAUUUAGUAAAAUUUUACGUACAGAGGUUGUUUGUUGAGAAAAGUUAAGAUGUUACUUUGGGGUGAGUUCCAAAAUUAAAGAGCAAAAAAAAAAGCAUUCUAGACAAGGAAAUUGAUAAAAUAGAAAAUCCCAAAGUUUUUAUUGCUUUUGCAAGGGAUAAGGAUGAGGAAUAUUGUUUUUACCAUUGUUUUCAAUGGAAGAAUGUCUAGUGUGUAAGGAAUAAAAUCUUGAGUAUUUAUAGCUGUAUCAGACUUGGGCCUUUAACUGUUGAUAAAGAUGGAGAAAGAAAGAAUCCCAAGGAUUUUUGUAGUAGAGGAUUGUUUAAAUAUACUGAAAGACUAUGUGUUAAUUUUGUCAUCUGCUAAUUGAUAAAACAAAGUUGGUUUUAUAGAAUAAAAGAUUCAUAAGAAAGCUUUACAAGAAUCCAUGAAGACAUAAAAAUCAGUAAUUAAAAUCUAGAACAAAGGUAGGCAUUUUUUAUUGUUUCUUGAAAAAUAUAUACUACAAUAAAAUGUUUUCAAAUCUCUUAGUACACACAAGAUCACAUAUAAAAGCAAGCUAUUGUAUUUGCUGACAUUACAUAAUCAGUAGAAAGAUCGUCUGAAGCUUCAAAGUAUUUCAUGCAGUAGUUUUUUUUUUGCAGUUCAUGAAAGAAACUAUACAGUAGGUGUAUUGAUUUGAUACAUUGAUUGUGAAGGAUUUAACUAAAACACUCAGACUUCUGUAACAGUAAUAACUUUUAUACUGGUGGUAAUAGGAAAAUUUGCUUUAUGAAUCUCAUUUUGUUAUACAAAAUGAAGGAGUGUAUUUACUCUUCUGACUGAUUUAAAUUAAUACUCACCUUUGGUUACAACAACAAUAUAACUAUUUCAAUUUUAUUGGUUUAUAAAACAGUUGGUUUGUUCUUAUUAAAGUAAUAUUAUAAAAUGUGACACUAAACAAUAUAGCUACAACUUAUUUUUCUUUUUUGAAAUUUUUGUUCAUUAAUUUCUUGGUUAAAGAGAACACCAGUGCCUUGCUAUUAACAUCACUGUUUAUAUCAUUCUGAUGUAUUUUUAUAAACUAAUUACCCUUAACAUGCCAAUAGGUAGUUCAGGCAAUCUGAUCAUACAUAGUUGAACUGGGAUAACGUUUUUAAGAUAUUGACUAAUGACUUAUGAAUGUGAAAAAAAUGUACUAUUUGAACAAAAUGAUAUGUCCAUAUAUGUGAAUAUCAUUUAGAGUAAAUAUUUUUAAUCAUUUAGGGUUUACAAAGUGAAACUUGACAACUUGAAAAUUCAGAAUUUUACUUUAAAGAAAAAUGGUAAUUUAUUUAUUUAUUUAUUUAUUUUUCAAUAAUGCAAGCUAAUUUAUUAAAUACAAAUUGCUGUGAAAUGUGUAUAAUGAAAAGUUCUAGCUUUAUAUCUAAUAUAUGAAUAUAUUUCAUAAUAGUUUAUUGAGUUUUCUUAUCUGUUUACCUUUAACUUUGAACUUCAGGUGUUUUAGAGAUUGUAAGUCUGAAAGUUUAAUCCACUGUUGUAAACAUUGUGUUUUUAUCUUAGUGUAUAUAGAUUGAGAAAUAAAUUCAAUCUCCUAAGCUGUUGAAUCUCAUGAGAUAGUACUGGGAUCACAGGCAAAGACAUUGAUAACAGUGAGGGUAACCAACCUUUGAUUUGUUUGUUUAUAGUUAAGCACAAAGCUGCACAAUGGUUUAUCUGUGCUCUGCCCACACGGGUAUCGAAACCCGGUUUCUAGUGUUGUAUGUCCACAGACAUGCUACUGUGAAUCAGCAUAUUUUAAUCAUUAUAAGUUUUUAUAUUAUGACAAUUCAUAGUCAGUCUUACUUAGACCAGUAUAUUAAAUUAUCUACAUUAUUUAUUCAGUUAAUUGUUAAUUCUACUCUGAUCAGAAGUUACAGGUAAUAAAAAAUUAGACACACAGCUGUGUCCUACUUGUAGUAAAGGAAACUUUUCAUUAUCUGAUUUUGUAUAACUACUGUAUAGUACAAUGGUUUCAAACUUUAACUGUUGUGGUAUUUUCUGGCUCACAGAUUUACCUUAGAGUAGUUAGUUAGGGCCCUUUAUCUGGAGGUUUGAGUGGGUCACAGAGUGUAUUUCUCCUUGAUCUCUGACUGGGUUCAUAACACAGAAAGAGAUAGCUAGUAUAUACAAAUGUACAAUUGAAACAAAAAUCUUUAUUAAACUCUUAAAAACAAAAUGACACAAAAAGACAAGAAUGUCUAGUAGAUAUGUAGAACUGGCAAGAGAUAUGGGAAAAACCUUUAAUAGUUUCUCUUAAUUGUUCAGUGUGCUCUCCCUUGUAAGCUAAAAUUAAGUGGAAAGUUUAAAAGGAAGUUAAAUUCAAAUAAAAAUGCUUAAACUACUUGCUUAAGCAAACCCAAACUCUCUUGGAAGCUAUGGUUUACUACAAUGUUAAAGUCACUAAAAUUAGAAGCUUUUAAUAAUUCCCAAGAAGUUUGUAAGUCACAAGAAAUACUAAAAGUCUAAAUAUAAAUCAAAACUUCUAAAAGUCUGUUUUCUCUGAGCAAACCUGGCCUGAUAUACAAAAACACCAAUAUUACAUAAAACCAGGCUUGCACAUGGCUCCACUUUGCAAGCAACUUGCACAUUUGUCCACAGUGUCUGAACAUUUUUAGGUUUGCUAAUAUGAAAAACAGUUGUUUAUCUCAUAACAUUAAGUUAUAUUUUUUAUAAGAAAACACAGAUAACUGGCAAUUCAUGUGCCCUGUGCAUUGGAGAAAGAGAUAGUUGAAUAACUUUCUUGAGUGCCUCUCUGUAUCCAAACUAAGAACUCUGAAAAUGAAAUAAUUUCAAAAAUUUACAUAUUAACUAAAGGAGGGGUUAAUGCAUGGUACAGUCCUGUACUACACUAUACAAUAUUUUACCAAUGUUAAUGGAUUUUUUAACAUGUUUUCCUUGCUUAUGAAAGUUUAGAAUACUUGUUUCAAGGUAAAUCACAGCUGGGAGGCAGCUAUAGUACACACAUUUUUUUAUUAAUAUAGGAAUCUUAAUAAAUACAUUGAUACUAAUAAGAAUAACAUUUGUGGUAAUUACUUGUAGUGAAUCUUUCAGAGAAGAGAAUUUUGAGAAUAGUAUUUCUCUCAGUUGACUGCUAUGUAUUAAUUAUUGAGGCCCAUCUUUUUACAUUUUCCUGCUUUGUACAGUAUUAGUACAGUACCAGGAAAUUUUAGGCUCAAAAUAUAAGCCUACAUGCUGUUUACUAAUGUAAAGUAGAAAAUUCUGCUGUGCAUCUGUUUAAAAUAAAAAGGCAAAAUGUACAUGUAUGGUACAAAUUAAAAUCAAAAUAUUUCAAGAUGUUGUAACCAGUUGUUUAAAAUUUUCUUUUCCACACACACUGCAUUAUAGAAAAAACACAAAAAUGAAAUGUGUUUUUUCCAGACUUUUCAAGAUUGUUCCCAAUACAGCUAACAUGUAUACUUAUCUAAAGCAUCUAGACCAAAAAUUCAUUUUAUGUUUCCUUCUUAUUUUAUUUUACAAAAUUUCCUGCAAUUUUUUUAAUAUCAAAUUGCAUUUUUUUACAUAACAUAUCUUGGAUUUUUAUUUUAUUUUUUGAACAGUUAUUAACAAAGCAAAUUGUAGCUAUGAUCACAACUGCUAGCUUGUCAUCUUCUUCUUAUCUUUGCAAAAAUUGUUCUAAAUGUAUAGCAGUUGUAUAAACAGCAAGUAUUUCAUGUAGUGAUUUGUGAGAGAGGAUGCAUUUUUAUGAUAAUUAGUUUUUAGUUAAAUACUAUAACUGUUUUACAAACUAGGACACAGAAAAACUUAACAGCAUUUUGUAUUUCCAGGAACCAUAGAAAAUUGGUAGAUUUUAUAGUUGAUUUUACUUAUUGUUUAUUUUAUUUAAGAAAAGCCCUACAAACCAAAUACCAUUGGAUUCAGUGUGAAAAACCUUAUCAAGUGCACUCCCAUGAAAGCAACCUAAAUGUAUUAUUAUUUACAGCAUAACACAUACAAAGUAGCCUCCUAUGGUAAAAAAAAGGGCUUAGCCACUGAAAUAAUAAUUGUACUAGCUCUAGCAUAACACAUACAAUUUAGUAGCCCCUAUGGUAAUUAUAUAAAAGUUUGUGAGUGAAAGUAAAGAAGUAUGUAAUAAUCUAUCAACUACAUCUGCUAUAUUCAGUGUCAGUAAGGUCUUUUCCCCAAUAACUAAGGAAUCAAGCCUGUGACACAAUAGUUAGAUGCACCAUGUGGUGUAAAUCUUGUGAACUGUGCUGUAAGUGAAAAGGUUCAUGAAGGAAACAACAUGGACAACAAAACCAGUAACCAGUAUUGUGUUAAAACAAAUUGAGAGAGCUGCUAUCAUUGUGCUUGCUCUGCUACCAGAUAACCAACAGUGGGAAUAAAUACAUCCUCAUAUUGAUGGUUUCAUCGUUGGUCAGACGAACAUGUUGUUCAUAACCAGGAAGCAGAAAUUUUAGCAAGAAAGCUAGUUAAUGGAUUUGUUUCAAGAUUGUGAGUGCUGAUGGAACUCUCAGAUCAGGAACAGAACUUUAAUUCAGCUUUCCAGAGAUGUGUCAAAUCCUUAGGAUAAAAAAAUAUGUAGGACAACAGCUUUUCAUCCACCUUCUGAUAGAAUAGUAGAAAGAUACAAUUAUACACUUUUAAAUCAUUUAGGCAUUUAUGUGGAUGAGCAUCAGAAAAUGUAGGAUAAUGACCUUCUGUUCCUACUCGUGAAUUAUCGAACAGCAAUAUAUGAAGCUACAAGCAACACACCAGCAUCACUAAGGUUUGGGAGAGAACUCAUAAUACAAUUACACUUUCUGUACUCACAUCCAGAGGACCAUAACUAAUUAGUCUUACACACAGCAUACAGAAUGACUAAGGAACAGCAUUGAUACCAUAUAUGACUUGACCCGAGAAAUUCUUAAAUCAGCUAGUGAUAAGAUGAAAAUUUGCUAUAACUUAAAUGUUGAUAAUACUAAAUUUUAUCAUGUUGAUGACAUGGUAUGGCUGUACAAUCCCUGCAGCAAGAGAGGACAGUCUCAAAAAUUUAUGUAGUUGCUGGGACGGGUCCUAUGCUGUAGUCAAAAUAAUCAAUAAUGUGGUUUAUAAAAUCCAGAAUGACAGUAAUCCAAGCCACAAAUCAUCCAUUGUGGCCAUCUUUAGAAGUACAUCAGAGAGAGAACAGCUAAAUGGUUAACUUUGGAGAAGGCUCCCAGUGGUAAGUCAGCCUGUUGAAGAGUCUGCAGUUGCUAUUGAAUCAACUGUCAGAGUAUCAUCAAAGAUAGAGCAACCGGGAGAUUCCAUGGAUGAACUAGCUGAACAGUCAUCCUUCAGUGACAACACGUCUAAUGUUGAUAAAGGGGAUGAGGCUGUCCUAUUUUCAUACCAAAAGCCACAGAAAAUAUAUCUACCCAAAACAUUUUGUGACCGGACUGUUUAGGGACUGUAAAUAGAUAGAAAAAUAUUUUGUUUUGUUAGUCAAUUUUUUAUUGUAAUUUGUUUCACAUAUUUAAUUAAUGGUUGUAAUAUCAAGGAAUGUUAAUGAUGGUAAUUUUCUUCAUUGUUAUUAUGGAAGUUUAAAUUUAGUGAUGUAAAUAUGUUGUGUAAUAGGAUUGUUUAAUUGACUUCACAGUCCAGUUUGGGGAGAGUGUUGUGGGUUUAUGUACCCAAUAUUUUAAUUUAGAUGUUAGUAAUGUUGUUUUGGUUAGAAAAUGUUCUUCUUUUGAUUUGAUGUGAUGAGCUUGUAUAUAAAAUUCUCUUUAAUUCUUGAUUUUGAACUAUGACUAGAGGGAAGGUAGCCAGUCAGCAGCAUUAAUGUUAAGGGAUUGACUGUCAUUUGAAUGGUAUAAUUCACCCACAGCUUAAAAUGUGAGGAAUAUAUUCUAGUGGUAUUGUACGAAUUUGGACCUGGCUCACUAGAGCUCUCCUACAGGCCAACUCUCACCAAACCCAGUUAAGCAAAUUUAUUUUGAAUCUGUAUUUCAACAUGCUAAGUAGUAGAGAUACACAAGUAAGUGUUUAGUUUUAUUUGUGAAUUAGGCCUAGUGAAUGUAACUUGUAUUGGAAAUAAUAAAAAACUUUUGUUAUCAAA
This 10187-nucleotide long non-coding RNA is filed under the name Limulus polyphemus (Atlantic horseshoe crab). Its description in RNAcentral is "uncharacterized LOC111087185". The record is from RNAcentral. Lineage: Eukaryota; Metazoa; Arthropoda; Merostomata; Xiphosura; Limulidae.